GACGAACGCUGGCGGCGUGCUUAACACAUGCAAGUCGAACGGAAAGGCCCUGCUUUUGUGGGGUGCUCGAGUGGCGAACGGGUGAGUAACACGUGAGUAACCUGCCCUUGACUUUGGGAUAACUUCAGGAAACUGGGGCUAAUACCGGAUAGGAGCUCCUGCUGCAUGGUGGGGGUUGGAAAGUUUCGGCGGUUGGGGAUGGACUCGCGGCUUAUCAGCUUGUUGGUGGGGUAGUGGCUUACCAAGGCUUUGACGGGUAGCCGGCCUGAGAGGGUGACCGGCCAAAUUGGGACUGAGAUACGGCCCAGACGCCUACGGGAGGCAGCAGGGGGGAAGAUUGCACAAUGGGCGGAAGCCUGAGGCAGCAACUCCGCGUGCGGGAUGACGGCCUUCGGGUUGUAAACCGCUUUCGCCUGUGACGAAGCGUGAGUGACGGUAAUGGGUAAAGAAGCACCGGCUAACUACGUG
RNAcentral lists this ribosomal RNA (468 nucleotides) under uncultured bacterium. RNAcentral's name for it is "partial 16S ribosomal RNA". It matches the Rfam family "Bacterial small subunit ribosomal RNA", at positions 28 to 507 of the family's 1533-position model. The record is from RNAcentral.